GAUGAAGAACGUAGCGAAAUGCGAUAAGUAAUGUGAAUUGCAGAAUUCAGUGAAUCAUCGAAUCUUUGAACGCACAUUGCGCCCGCCAGUAUUCUGGCGGGCAUGCCUGUUCGAGCGUCAUUUCAACCAUCAAGCUCUGCUUGCGUUGGGGAUCCGCGGCUGCCCGCGGUCCCUCAAAACCAGUGGCGGGCUCGCUAGUCACACCGAGCGUAGUAACUUUACAUCGCUAUGGUCGUGCGGCGGGUGCUUGCCGUAAAACCCCCCAAUUUUUAAGGUUGACCUCGGAUCAGGUAGGAAUACCCGCUGAACUCAAGCAUAUCAAUAAGCGGAGGA
This 333-nucleotide unclassified non-coding RNA is filed under the name soil metagenome. RNAcentral describes it as "partial contains 5.8S ribosomal RNA, internal transcribed spacer 2, and large subunit ribosomal RNA". The stretch from base 1 to 120 matches the Rfam family "5.8S ribosomal RNA", at positions 35 to 154 of the family's 154-position model. The record is from RNAcentral.